AAGUCGUAACAAGGUUUCCGUAGGUGAACCUGCGGAAGGAUCAUUACAGAGAACGUGCCCUCGUGGGUACAAUCUCCCACCCCGUGUCUAUAUUCCCUUGUUGCUUUGGCGGGCCCGUCGCUAGACCACCGGCUCUGCCUGGUCAGUGCCCGCCAGAGGACCCCAACCCUCUGUUUAAUGACGUCUGAGUAUCAUGCAAAUAUAUAAAACUUUCAACAACGGAUCUCUUGGUUCUG
This 236-nucleotide unclassified non-coding RNA is filed under the name Helotiales sp. Its description in RNAcentral is "partial contains small subunit ribosomal RNA, internal transcribed spacer 1, and 5.8S ribosomal RNA". The stretch from base 1 to 46 matches the Rfam family "Eukaryotic small subunit ribosomal RNA", at positions 1786 to 1831 of the family's 1831-position model. Lineage: Eukaryota; Fungi; Ascomycota; Leotiomycetes; Helotiales. The record is from RNAcentral.